GAUCUUACUUUGCUGAACAUUAUUGCUGUUUACAGUUUAUCUCUAACUAUAAUAAUAUUCAAGAUAAUAACCAAAAACAGCAAAAUUUCUUCAAAAUUACCAAUUCAGGGGCAGCAACCCAACAACCGAUUGACCGAUUCAUCUGAAAAUUUCAGGGCAGAUAUUUCUUGACCUGAUAAACAUUUUUAUUCCCCGUCAGAUUUCCUCAAAAUGCUUUGGUUUUUGAGUUAUAAGCCAAAAACUGCAUUUUACCCCUAUGUUCUAUUUUUAGCGGUGGCGGCCAUCUUGGUUGGUUGACCAGGUCACGCCACACAUUUUUUAAACUAGAUACCCCAAAGAUGAUUGUGGCCAAGUUUGGAUUAAUUUGGCCAAGUAGUUUCAGAGGAGAAGAUUUUUGUAAAAGAUUACUUUAAUUUACGAAAAAUGGUUAAAAAUUGACUAUAAAGGCAAUAACUCCUAAACGGGUCAACUGACCAUUUUGGUCAUGUUGACUUAUUUGUAGAUCUUACUUUGCUGAACAUUAUUGCUGUUUUACAGUUUAUCUCUAUCUAUAAUAAUAUUCAAGAUAAUAACCAAAAACAGCAAAAUUUCCUCAAAAUUACCAAUUCAGGGGCAGCAACCCAACAACCGAUUGACCGAUUCAUCUGAAAAUUUUAGGGCAGAUAGAUCUUGACCUGAUAAACAUUUUUAUCCCAUGUCAGAUUUCCUCAAAAUGCUUUGGUUUUUGAGUUAUAAGCCAAAAACUGCAUUUUACCCCUUUGUUCUAUUUUUAGCCGUGGCGGCCAUCUUGGUUGGUUGACCAGGUCACGCCACACAUUUUUUUAACUAGAUACCCCAAAGAUGAUUGUGGCCAAGUUUGGAUUAAUUUGGCCAAGUAGUUUCAGAGGAGAAGAUUUUUGUAAAAGAUUACUUUAAUUAAUGAAAAAUGGUUAAAAAUUGACUAUAAAGGGCAAUAACUCCUAAACGGGUCAACUGACCAUUUUGGUCAUGUUGACUUAUUUGUAGAUCUUACUUUGCUGAACAUUAUUGCUGUUUACAGUUUAUCUUUAACUAUAAUAAUAUUCAAGAUAAUAACCAAAAACAGCAAAAUUUCUUCAAAAUUACCAAUUCAGGGGCAGCAACCCAACAACCGAUUGACCGAUUCAUCUGAAAAUUUCAGGGCAGAUAGAUCUUGACCUGAUAAACAUUUUUACCCCAUGUCAGAUUUGCUCUAAAUGCUUUGGUUUUUGAGUUAUAAGCCAAAAACUGCAUUUUACCCCUAUGUUCUAUUUUUAGCCGUGGCGGCCAUCUUGGUUGGUUGACCGGGUCACGCCACACAUUUUUUAAACUAGAUACCCCAAUGAUGAUUGUGGCCAAGUUUGGUUUGAUUUGGCCCAGUAGUUUCAGAGGAGAAGAUUUUUGUAAAAGUUAACGACGACGGACGACGGACGACGACGGACGACGGACGCCAAGUGAUGAGAAAAGCUCACUUGGCCCUUCGGGCCAGGUGAGCUAAAAAUGUUAUU
This 1505-nucleotide long non-coding RNA is filed under the name Mytilus galloprovincialis (Mediterranean mussel). The record is from RNAcentral. Lineage: Eukaryota; Metazoa; Mollusca; Bivalvia; Mytilida; Mytilidae.